Ictalurus punctatus (channel catfish) is the source of this 574-nucleotide long non-coding RNA. The record is from Ensembl. NCBI's taxonomy places the organism in Eukaryota, Metazoa, Chordata, Actinopteri, Siluriformes, Ictaluridae.
CUGUAGUCACUCAGAGGUUGUUGUUCUGUCCCCCUGUAGACUGCCUCAUUGUUGUUUAUGAUAAAGUGGGCAAACUUUGUGAUGCUGUUUGUGCUGGACCAACCCACACAGUCGUGUGUGAACAAGGAGAACUGCAAGAGGCUCAACAACACGUAUUGAGAGUCACAGAGGAGGAGGUGUUCUUGCUUGUCUGCACAUCUAGAGGUCUGACAGCGAAGCGGUCCUGAACCCACCUGCAUAGAGAGGGGCCUAAGUCCUGAAUCCAGAAGCUUGUGUUUGGGUGUCAGGGUCACGGGGAACCUGAAGCCUAUCCCAGGAAGCAUCGGGCACAAGGUGGGAUGCAGAAUAUUAUGUUUUAACGUAAUAUAAUAUUAUAAUGUUGGGCAGCUGUGGAUUAGGUGGUAGAGCGGGUUGUCCACUAAUCGUAGGGUUGGCGCAGCAUUGCAAGAGUGCUUAUAUUCAGUAUACCCGCACUGGGAAUGUUUCACUGUGUGUAUCACUCCACUCAUCCGUGUUCACGACAUAAAAUACCACUUCCUAGUUCGAAACUGUUACUACAGUAGAGUUAGUGACG